UGAUAGCUUGCAGACGCCAGUCACACUCCACGUGGAGUCAGGGAAUCCGGUGCGAAUCCGGAGCUGACGCGCAGCGGUGAGGGGGACGGGCGGGGCCACGGCCACUGGGACACCCUCGGGUGCACCGGGAAGGCGCUCCGUCCGGACGAACCCGAGUCCGAAGACCUGCUGGCACCCGCUUCCGCAC
This 187-nucleotide non-coding RNA is filed under the name Streptomyces pratensis. Lineage: Bacteria; Bacillati; Actinomycetota; Actinomycetes; Kitasatosporales; Streptomycetaceae. The record is from RNAcentral.